CACUCUUGAAUAUUUGUAGCUUCAUGCUGUACCCUCAAGACCACAUUCACCAAUGAAUCAUACACGUGUUUUGGUUAGAACCCAACAACUUUCCUUAGUUUGGCUAAAAACUAUUGUCUUGUGAUUAUACUAAUUAUGCACAGGUAUUAGAACAGCAUUGCUGGAGUCUGAGGAAUUUACAUGCCCAGCGUGUCAUCAGACAGAUGUUUCUCCUGAUGCUUUAGCUGCCAACCAGAGCCUACGCCAGGCUGUGAACAACUUCAGAAAUGGAGCUGGCUACACAAAAAGGCUCCGUAAGCAGAUUCAGCAGCAGCAGCAGCCGCCGCCACCACCUGCAGCACCACUCACGACUGUUAUCCCUCCUGCUGCUUUGGUGACUGCCGCUGAACUGCCUCCAUCUUCCUCUCUGUCAAUCCGCAGCUUGUUGGAAGAGAAGGGCUCUCAAGUUCCUGUACGAAGACAGCUAGCGCUACCAAGUCUUCUGGGCUCCCAAGGGCAAUCGGUACCCACAGCUGGUAAGUAAUGAUAGCUUUAGAACUUGUGUUAAAAAAUUACCUUCAGAUAAGCUGAAUGGGUCUUUUUACUUUUUCUUCUCCCCUCUCCAAAAGGUCCUCCGAGGGCAGACAGUACCAU
Neopsephotus bourkii (Bourke's parrot) is the source of this 633-nucleotide long non-coding RNA. RefSeq lists it as uncharacterized. The transcript is spliced from 3 exons. The record is from RefSeq and is a predicted model, not a curated record. NCBI's taxonomy places the organism in Eukaryota, Metazoa, Chordata, Aves, Psittaciformes, Psittacidae.